UUCAGAGAAGUGGAAUAAUCGUAUCGCUGAUCUAUGUAAACAAAUUGAAGAAUUGUCUGAAAGAAAAUAUGACAUGAACUUAUGAAUUCAACAGGUGAAGGUUUACAACUUGAUAAAUCAGCUUUGUGAGCUCGAGCUGUAAAAGCCAAAGGUCCGGUGAUGAUCCUAUACCCUUUUUUCCAGUCUCAUGUUGAAGAUUUUUAUGUAGAAGGCCUUCCCAAAGGAUUUUUUUUUUUUUUUUUGAGAUGGAGUUUUCACUCUUAUCGCCCAGGCUGGGGUGCAAUGGCGCAACCUUGCUGGUCACUGCAGCCUCUGCCUCCUGGGUUCAAGAAAUUCUCCUGCCUUGGCCUCCCAAGUCGCUGGAAUUACAGGUGCCCACCACCACACCAGGCUACUUUUUGUAUUUUUAGUGGAGAUGGGGUUUCACCAUGUUGGCCGGGCCAGUCUCAAACUCCUGACGUCAAGUGAUCUUCCCGCCUCGACUCCUGACAUCAAGUGAUCUUUCCGCCUCGGCCUCCCAGAGUGCUGAGAUUACAGACGUGAACCCAUGCCUGGCCAGGAAUUUUGUUUUUUAGGAAGGCUUUCUACUACUGGAAUUCCUGGCCUUGAGAGGUUGUUACUUUCGAAGGAAAGGAUUUUUUUG
This 643-nucleotide long non-coding RNA is filed under the name Pan troglodytes (chimpanzee). Its description in RNAcentral is "long non-coding RNA NONPTRT001514". The record is from RNAcentral. Lineage: Eukaryota; Metazoa; Chordata; Mammalia; Primates; Hominidae.